RNAcentral lists this transfer RNA (69 nucleotides) under Aegla aff. longirostri MHT-2018. RNAcentral describes it as "tRNA-Leu". The record is from RNAcentral. Lineage: Eukaryota; Metazoa; Arthropoda; Malacostraca; Decapoda; Aeglidae.
UCUAAAAUGGCAGAUAAUAUGUAUAAGAUUUAAGCUCUUAUUAUGAAGAUUUUUUUUCUUCUUUUAGAA